RNAcentral lists this long non-coding RNA (1080 nucleotides) under Equus caballus (horse). RNAcentral's name for it is "lncRNA (ENSECAG00000055843.1)". Lineage: Eukaryota; Metazoa; Chordata; Mammalia; Perissodactyla; Equidae. The record is from RNAcentral.
CUAGCAUGGCAUUAUAGCAGAGAUAUUUACACCAGGAUUUACACAUUAGAAUUUAUCCCACCUCAUUGUCACUAUGUGUAAUUUAUAACCUCAUUCUUACUGAAAAAAACGAGAAUGUAGAAUGUCGGUGCAGACUGAUGAUUUCAUCAUACUCUGACUCAUCAUUCCUAAAAUGUGCUAGGUCUCUGGAGUGAGGAUAUUUAUCUAAACAAAUUAAUCUAAUACUGUAUAAGUUGAUCAUUCUAGCUUUGGGAUGAUUAACUUCCUUAAAAACGUGAGCAGAAUGAUUGUGAUUUUGUAUAAUAAUUUUUAUCAUGAAACUGUUCUCACAUUUUACUUUAUAUUAGCAACAAUCCAUCACCUCUUCCGCGCCUCCCAACCUGCUGGAUUUAUAGCAAUGGGUUUAUUAUUCUUGAAGCAUUGUAAAAUGACUCUUUCGUUCUUAGUUAAAUUAGGAGGGAAAAAUCUUUCAUUUUCUAAAGGUCAAGAUGUUCUUUACAAAGAAUAUAACAGUUUAUAUCAAUUCCACAGCAUUUUAUAUAGACACAAAUAGUCGUCAUCUUUUUUUACAAGUAUACCUUCUUUAGUGCAAUAGUUUAAGUUAGAGUUGCCAGAAACUGAUUGUACUGAGUGAACUGUUUUUGUGUGUGUGUAGGAUAAAAGGUGCUUUAAUGAAAUCAAUCUUUGGAGAUAUAAAUUCACUUUUACUGAGAAGGUAUACUUUAUCCUCAUUGCCGGGCCAUGUUUUCUCUGCACAGUAUCUCACAUAUAAAACUUUGGUAAAUGACUGCUUUUGUGAAAAUGUAGGGCUGUCAAUCUUGUGAUAAAGAUAGAAUUAAGGUUUAGCAAGGAUAGUGUUGAUAAAUAGGAUAUAGAGAGGAAGAGGAAGAAAAGACAUGUAUGGAUCCAGAGUUGUUAUUCUGAGGAAACAGUAACAGAACUCAUCCCCAUCAAGGGGCUAUCAAAUUCCCCUGAACAAAGAGCUGGCAUAAUCCAAAUAGGCCAACUGAGAGCUCAUUAGCAUCUGCAGAAGAUAAACAUUUAAGAAUCACGGUGGUGUCAGGAAUAAGGGAGGAAUGC